AGGGCGUAUGGUGGAUGCCUUGGCAGACAGUACCGAUGAAGGACGUUUGAGGAUGCGAUAAGCCUCGGGGAGCCUCCAACAUGGCUUCGAUCCGAGGAUUUCCGAAUGGGGCAACCCGCCGGCCGUCAUGGGCCGGCACGGAACCUUGUUGUUCCGGGGGUACGCAGGGAAGUGAAACAUCUCAGUACCUGCAGGAAGGGAUACUCCGUGAGUAGUGGCGAGCGAAAGCGGAUCAGACCAAACCAUGGGCGCGUGAUACCCGUCGGGGGUUGCGUCCGUGGUGUUGCGGGAGCGUGUGUCCCGGUUCCGACGGACCGGGCGGGAGUCAUAAAACGGCUUGCCAGGGGAACAGGCUUGAAGGCCUGGCCGUAGAGGGUGCCAGCCCCGUACCUGGACGUGAGCCGUCUUCCGAUCGUGUUGUCCCAAGUAGCGCGGGCCUCGUGGAAUCCCGCGUGAAUCAGCCCAGACCGUUGGGUAAGUCUAAGCAUACCUGUCUGACCGAUAGCGUACCAGUACCGUGAGGGAAAGGUGAAAAGCACCCCGGGAGGGGAGUGAAAGAGUUCCUGAAACCGUGCGCCUACAAUCCGUCGGAGCCUCCUCAAGUGGGGUGACGGCGUGCCUAUCGAAAAAUGAGUCUGCGAGUCAGUGGUGCGUGGCGAGGCUAACCCGUCGUGGGGGAGCCGUAGCGAAGGCGAGUCUCAAAAGGCGUUUUGAGUCGCGUGCCCUGGACCCGAAGCGGGAUGAUCUAGCCCUGGGCAGGUUGAAGCGCGGGUAAGACCGCGUGGAGGACCGAACCCACCUGGGUUGAAAACCGGGGGGAUGACCUGGGGCUAGGGGUGAAAGGCCAAUCAAAUUCCGUGAUAGCUGGUUCUCUCCGAAAUGCAUUUAGGUGCAGCGUCGGUUGAUUGCAUCGCGGGGGUAGAGCUACUGGAUGCUUGCGGGCCCGUAUGGGGUACCAACAGCAGCCAAACUCCGAAUACCGUUGAUGUGUAUUCCGGCAGUGAGUCGGCGGGGGAUAAGCUCCGUCGUCGAGAGGGAGACAGCCCAGACCGUCGUCUAAGGUCCCGAAGCGUGUGCUAAGUGGGAAAGGAUGUGGAGUCGCAUAGACAGCCAGGAGGUUGGCUCAGAAGCAGCCAUCCUUGAAAGAGUGCGUAACAGCUCACUGGUCUAGUGGUUCCGCGCCGACAAUGUAGCGGGGCUCAAGCACACCACCGAAGACGCGGCAGCAAUCUUCAUGGUUGCUGGGUAGGAGAGCGUCCUGCGAGGGGCGAAGCGGCCGGGUAACCGUGCCGUGGACUUCGUGGGAGUGAGAAUGCAGACAUGAGUAGCGAGAGACGGGUGAGGAUCCCGUCCGCUGGAUGACCAAGGGUUCCGGGGCCACGUUCGUCGUCCCCGGGUGAGUCGGGUCCUAAGGCGAGGCCGACAGGCGUAGUCGAAUGGAUGAACGGGUGGAUAUUCCCGUACCGGCAGCGAACCGUCCGAACCGAACGGAUGAGUACUAACCUCCGGUCGCGUGCGUCGUUCCCUUCGGGGUUCGGGGCGUGCGAUUGUUGGGAAUGUAGUCCUGGUAGGUUAGCGCACAGGGGUGACACGGAAUGGGAGCCGGCCGCGGAGGUGGUUUUCCGUGGUCAAGCACGCAGCCCGUCCCAUAGGCAAAUCCGUGGGACGUAUAGGGUGAGGUGCGAUGAUGGGCGCCUUUCAGGCGCGAUAUCCGGUGGUCCAGGCCGUCGAGAAAAGCCUCGGCGCGAGGGGCGUUGCCGCCCGUACCCCAAACCGACACUGGUGGUCAGGUAGAGAAUACCAAGGCGAUCGAGCGAAUCCUGGUCAAGGAACUCGGCAAAUCACUCCCGUGCCUUCGGUAUAAGGGAGACCCCUGAUGGUGAUGGAACUUGCUUCCGGAGCUUUCGGGGGUGGCACAGACCAGGGGGUAGCGACUGUUUACCAAAAACACAGGUGCAUGCGAAGGCGAAAGCCGCUGUAUAUGCACUGACGCCUGCCCGGUGCCGGAAGGUUAAGAGGAUCCGUCAAUCCCUUCGGGGACGAAGCGGUGAAUUCAAGCCCCGGUAAACGGCGGUGGUAACUAUAACCAUCCUAAGGUAGCGAAAUUCCUUGUCGGGUAAGUUCCGACCUGCACGAAUGGCGUA
Molecule: ribosomal RNA, 2144 nt
Filed under: human gut metagenome
Description: bacterial LSU rRNA
Rfam family: Bacterial large subunit ribosomal RNA
Source: RNAcentral